RNAcentral lists this ribosomal RNA (468 nucleotides) under uncultured bacterium. RNAcentral's name for it is "partial 16S ribosomal RNA". It matches the Rfam family "Bacterial small subunit ribosomal RNA", at positions 28 to 507 of the family's 1533-position model. The record is from RNAcentral.
GACGAACGCUGGCGGCGUGCUUAACACAUGCAAGUCGAACGGAAAGGCCCUGCUUUUGCGGGGUGCUCGAGUGGCGCACGGGUGAGUAACACGUGUGUAACCUGCCCUUGACUUUGUGAUAACUUCAGGAAAAUGGGGCUAAUACCGGAUAGGAGCUCCUGCUGCAUGGUGGGGGUUGGAAAGUUUCGGCGGUUGGGGAUGGACUCGCGGCUUAUCAGCUUGUUGGUGGGGUAGUGGCUUACCAAGGCUUUGACGGGUAGCCGGCCUGAGAGGGUGACCGGCCACAUUGGGACUGAGAUACGGCCCAGACUCCUACGGGAGGCAGCAGUGGGGAAUAUUGCACAGUGGGCGGAAGCCUGAUGCAGCAACGCCGCGUGCGGGAUAACGGCCUUCGGGUUGUAAACCGCUUUCGCCUGUGACGAAGCGUGAGUGACGGUAAUGGGUAAAGAAGCACCGGCUAACUACGUG